UACGGAGGAUCCGAGCGUUAUCCGGAUUUAUUGGGUUUAAAGGGAGCGUAGGUGGGAAGACAAGUUGAAUGUUUAAACUAUCGGCUCAACCGAUAAUCGCGUUCAAAACUGUUUUUCUUGAGUGAAGUAGAGGCAGGCGGAAUUCCUAGUGUAGCGGUGAAAUGCGUAGAUAUUAGGAGGAACACCAGUGGCGAAGGCGGCUUACUGGACUGUAACUGACGUUGAGGCUCGAAAGCGUGGGGAGCAAACAGG
RNAcentral lists this ribosomal RNA (252 nucleotides) under uncultured Oscillospiraceae bacterium. Its description in RNAcentral is "partial 16S ribosomal RNA". It matches the Rfam family "Bacterial small subunit ribosomal RNA", at positions 524 to 776 of the family's 1533-position model. Lineage: Bacteria; Bacillati; Bacillota; Clostridia; Eubacteriales; Oscillospiraceae. The record is from RNAcentral.